This 88-nucleotide small RNA is filed under the name Flavobacterium succinicans. RNAcentral's name for it is "Flavo-1 RNA". It matches the Rfam family "Flavo-1 RNA". Lineage: Bacteria; Pseudomonadati; Bacteroidota; Flavobacteriia; Flavobacteriales; Flavobacteriaceae. The record is from RNAcentral.
UUUUAGCCCCGGGAGUAGCGGCAUCCUUUUGUAGUGAUGGGUUCUAAACCCAUUACUACAAAAGAUAUAGCGAAUCACGGGACGAUGC